RNAcentral lists this unclassified non-coding RNA (368 nucleotides) under sea anemone metagenome. Its description in RNAcentral is "partial contains small subunit ribosomal RNA and internal transcribed spacer 1". The stretch from base 1 to 182 matches the Rfam family "Eukaryotic small subunit ribosomal RNA", at positions 1654 to 1831 of the family's 1831-position model. The record is from RNAcentral.
UCCAGUGGGUACACACCGCCCGUCGCUACUACCGAUUGAAUGGUUUAGUGAGGACUCCUGAUUGGCGCCGCCGCCCCGGCAACGGAGCAGCGGACUGCCGAACAGUUGUUCAAACUUGAUCAUUUAGAGGAAGUAAAAGUCGUAACAAGGUUUCCGUAGGUGAACCUGCAGAAGGAUCAUUGAUCCUUCUGCAGGUUCACCUACAGCUACCUUGUUACGACUUCACCCCAGUCCUUAACUUCAUAAUAAAUAAGUUAAAAAACAACGUUAAUUUUAGAAAAAGAAUAAUAAAAAAAAGGUUAUUUUUACUUAAAAAAAAAUAAUAUUGUUUUUUAAAUAUUUUCAAAUGGAACCAAUUUCCAUGGCGU